AGAUCACGCCUUUCAGGCAUCCUCUCCUAAAACCUUAUAUGGCCGGUUUCGUACCGGCCUUUUUUUUCGUCCGC
RNAcentral lists this small RNA (74 nucleotides) under Sphingomonas aurantiaca. RNAcentral describes it as "suhB". It matches the Rfam family "Makes More Granules Regulator RNA (mmgR)". Rfam says of the family: SuhB later renamed mmgR (makes more granules regulator) was a putative non-coding RNA found multiple times in the Agrobacterium tumefaciens genome and related alpha-proteobacteria. Lineage: Bacteria; Pseudomonadati; Pseudomonadota; Alphaproteobacteria; Sphingomonadales; Sphingomonadaceae. RNAcentral also lists the same sequence under 1 other name. The record is from RNAcentral.